Molecule: non-coding RNA, 110 nt
Organism: Paramuricea clavata
Lineage: Eukaryota; Metazoa; Cnidaria; Anthozoa; Malacalcyonacea; Plexauridae
Source: the annotation of a GenBank genome assembly
UUGGUACCCGUACCACUUUUUUGGUUCUUGGACUACCUAUUUAGGCAGUCCUAUUUGGUAGUGCCGUACAAUAGGUAGUCCAAGAACCAAAAAAGUGGUACGGGUACCAA